GUUUGCACGGGCUGGGCAGAGUUUGCAGGGAAGAGGACUCGGAGGUUGCACCGGGGCGGAGCGGGAGGCGACUCGGGACCGGUGAGCGCUGCCUGCCGCAGUCAUGGAGCCGAGCGCGGACGUGGCCUUGCUGAUUGCUCUGGUUGUCAUUGCCGCGACAGCCUUGCUGUUAGUUUUCAAGACUAGGAGAUCCCAGAGGAAGAGUGAUCCCAUUACAUUACAGGAUCCAAACACUAAGUAUCCAUUGCCAUUGAUAAAGAAAGAGGAGAUCAGCCAUGAUACCAAGAAAUUCAGGUUUGGGCUUCCGUCGCCGGAUCACGUAUUAGGGCUACCUAUAGGCCAGCAUGUUUACCUCUCUUCCAAAAUCAAUGGUAAUCUUGUCAUCCGGGCCUACACUCCAGUUUCCAGUGACGAAGUAAAAGGUUAUGUUGACUUAAUUAUAAAGGUCUACUACAAAAAUGUCAAUCCCAAAUUCCCUGAAGGCGGGAAGAUGUCCCAGUACUUAAACAGCAUGACCGUUGGGGAUACCAUUGACUUCAGAGGGCCAAAUGGGCUUCUUGUAUACAAGGGGACAGGUAACUUUGCUAUCAAGCCUGACAAGAAGUCUGAAGCACACAGAAAGUUUGUAAAGCAUCUUGGGAUGAUAGCUGGAGGAACAGGAAUAACUCCGAUGUUGCAGCUGAUCCGUCACAUCACAAAGGAUCCUAAUGAUAAUACAAAGUGUUACCUCCUUUUUGCUAAUCAGACUGAAAAAGACAUAUUACUGAGAGCAGAGCUAGAAGAGGUAGCCAAGAAUCACCCUGAUCAAUUUAAAGUGCAGUAUACAUUGGACAGACCUCCUCAGGAUUGGAAGUAUAGCUCUGGCUUCAUUACUGCAGACAUGAUUAAAGCACACCUCCCUCCCCCAGGCAGAGAUACUCUUAUUCUGAUGUGUGGGCCUCCACCUAUGAUUCAGUUUGCGUGUCAGCCCAAUCUGGAAAAACUUGGUUAUCCCAAAGAUAACACAUUCGCUUAUUAACACUGAUGCAAUGCAGUAUGUCUCAUUCACAUGCAGAAAUAAUCCAUUGUGCUACAGCACUUUUAGAACAAUUGAACGAGUUUAUCUACUUAAAUCAGCUGCACCAAUGAAGCCGUUAAUUGUACACUUUAUGUGAUUCUACGUAUUGGAUACAGAAUCAAAUCCAUACUGCUUCAGUAAAGUGAACCCCGUCUAAGGGAGAUGGGACAGCAAUUGCUUGCAAAAUGUUGGAGUUACUGAAUUUCAAUGGGUUUUUAUCAGAUAUAGACACUUAUUUACUGUGGGCAAAAGUCACCUCUUUUCAGAGGCUGAGCAGAAUCAGUGGAGACUAUGCACUACUUAAGGUCAACUUAGGCCAUCCACUAUGACUGGAGGACUGACAACUUAUUUCAAAAUAAAGAUUUUUCAAGUAUGGAAAUAUAAGUAGGCUGUAAAUAAGGAGUCUAUAACAAGAACACUGGAACACUUACUCUAGGGGACUGCUUUAACUGUCACUGCAUUCUAGCAGGAUAAGUUUGUGACUUUACAGCAAGUAUAAAUUGGUACAUACCGUGAGGUUGCUUAUGCCUUGAGAGAGCACCCCUAUUUGCAUUACUGUUCCUUCUGAAUGUUCCAUCUGUAAAAUCAGUCAGUAAACUAGAUCAAAUCAGACAGCAACUACAGUUUUAUCCGGAGCAUGCAUGUAUGUAGAGCAUGCAUCUUUUGGAGGUGAUUCUGUCUUGAGGAAAAACGAAAUCUCAACAUAAUGAAUUACUACUCUUGGAAAUGUGUUAACAAUUUGUUCUCAAAGUUAUACAGAAAUAAAUAUACAUAUUGUACAUAACACCUCACAAAACAAAAGGAAAAAUACUCCUAUGCCAGCAUAAUGCAGUGAAAAUGCAGUUAUGAUAGGAAGAUCAAUUUCUGAUGAGAAAAGGCAUUCUUUAAUCCCUUAGUACAAACGUUACACACACUAGCAAAUUUAAGAAUUUAUCAAUUUCCUCUCAUGAAUUUUAGUGCUGUGUGUUACAGUAAUAUUUUUCAGAAGUCAAAAACAUUCAAGAUGCAUUCAGUAAUGCAUGUGAUGCAUUCCUACUAGACAGGCAAUUACAAGUACUCUUCAUACUCUUACUGAUUUUAAAAAGGGAUAUAAAUUGUUUGAGCACAUCAGGUGGCCUAAAAUGUAAAGAGGGUUCAGUAGUAGUUCAUUAAAAGUAUUAAUUUUUCACUGUGUACAAAGGUGUGAAUGUAUUAUGUUCACUUCCAGGUCAUUUUUUCAGCUGGAAGAUGGACUGUCACCAAUUUUUUUUAAUAUUCAAAAUAUUUUGUAACAUUUGUAUUUAGUAAUUUAAAAUGGGGUCAGGAAUGGUGGAAUGUUAAAGUUAAAUCAAAUCCAUGCUGCUUCAGUAAAGUGAACCAGGGGCAGUAGUUGCUUACAAAAUAUUGGAAUUUACUUAUUUUCAGUUUUUCAAUUGGUUUUUAUCAGAUAUAGACACUAAUUUACUGUGGGCGAAAGUCACCCCUGUUCAGAGCAGAAUCAGUGGAGACUAUGCACUUCUUAGAUGCUGCUUUUACCUUGUAACUGGACAUUUCCUUUCAGUAAACAUGUCAAAGCAUCAAAAUACAGUACAUUCACUACAGAUACUGACCGCGUUCAACUCUGUUGGGAUUUGGUCGUCUCUUAUUUCCUUAACAUAAAUAAGAUUAACAAUACUAUUUUACUUUGUAAACACUAACACAGGAGCCACUAGAUAUGAAACAUUUCUAUCGCUAAAACAUGCUAAAACAUUUUUGUUAAUGGGGUCCUCUAAAUAACACAGUGCAAACUUGCACAAGAAAAGACAGUGGUUAGGUAAUGAGUUACUUUACAGAUGAGCACAAAUGAUGCGUUAGGUGCAGUAAACCAUGCAAAUGAAAAAUGAAUUGUCAGUUUAUCAAUGUUGUGAUCAUUCUCUUAUCUGGUUUCUCACUUAGGAGAAUUAUUUAAUCUGGCUUCUCUCUGGAACAGUCUGAGCUAGUGUAAAUUGUCAUAGCUCUAUGGAAGUCACUGGAGCUAUGAUAAUUUACACCAGCAGAUCUGCCCACACAAGCGCCAACAACUCCCUUUUUCAGGGUUUGCAGUACUUUACACAGACUUUGGCAGGAAGGAGGCUGGAUAACACGUGUACGUGUG
Molecule: RNA transcript, 3170 nt
Organism: Mauremys reevesii (Reeves's turtle)
Lineage: Eukaryota; Metazoa; Chordata; Testudines; Geoemydidae
Gene name: NADH-cytochrome b5 reductase 2
Exons: 10
Source: RefSeq, a predicted model, not a curated record